RNAcentral lists this transfer-messenger RNA (232 nucleotides) under Halopseudomonas pachastrellae. Its description in RNAcentral is "Pseudomonas pachastrellae transfer-messenger RNA". It matches the Rfam family "transfer-messenger RNA", at positions 1 to 247 of the family's 374-position model. From Rfam's summary of the family: Bacterial tmRNA, also known as 10Sa RNA or SsrA, is named for its dual tRNA and mRNA-like properties. Its role is to liberate the mRNA from a stalled ribosome. Lineage: Bacteria; Pseudomonadati; Pseudomonadota; Gammaproteobacteria; Pseudomonadales; Pseudomonadaceae. The record is from Rfam by way of RNAcentral.
GGGGCCGAUUUGGAUUCGACGACGGUUACAAAACUUGAGGGGCAUGCCGAGUUGGUAGCAGAUCUCGUAAAUUCGCUGCUGCACAUUUAUAGUUGCCAACGACGACAACUACGCACUAGCCGCUUAAGCCGGCUAGCGGUCACCAGGGGAUGCCUGUAAACCCGAAGUUGACCGACAGAUAGAACAGGAUCGCCGCCAAGUUUGCUGUAGACGUAACGGCUAAAACUUAUAC